RNAcentral lists this ribosomal RNA (1533 nucleotides) under Streptococcus pneumoniae. Its description in RNAcentral is "bacterial SSU rRNA". It matches the Rfam family "Bacterial small subunit ribosomal RNA". The record is from RNAcentral. Lineage: Bacteria; Bacillati; Bacillota; Bacilli; Lactobacillales; Streptococcaceae.
AGAGUUUGAUCCUGGCUCAGGACGAACGCUGGCGGCGUGCCUAAUACAUGCAAGUAGAACGCUGAAGGAGGAGCUUGCUUCUCUGGAUGAGUUGCGAACGGGUGAGUAACGCGUAGGUAACCUGCCUGGUAGCGGGGGAUAACUAUUGGAAACGAUAGCUAAUACCGCAUAAGAGUGGAUGUUGCAUGACAUUUGCUUAAAAGGUGCACUUGCAUCACUACCAGAUGGACCUGCGUUGUAUUAGCUAGUUGGUGGGGUAACGGCUCACCAAGGCGACGAUACAUAGCCGACCUGAGAGGGUGAUCGGCCACACUGGGACUGAGACACGGCCCAGACUCCUACGGGAGGCAGCAGUAGGGAAUCUUCGGCAAUGGACGGAAGUCUGACCGAGCAACGCCGCGUGAGUGAAGAAGGUUUUCGGAUCGUAAAGCUCUGUUGUAAGAGAAGAACGAGUGUGAGAGUGGAAAGUUCACACUGUGACGGUAUCUUACCAGAAAGGGACGGCUAACUACGUGCCAGCAGCCGCGGUAAUACGUAGGUCCCGAGCGUUGUCCGGAUUUAUUGGGCGUAAAGCGAGCGCAGGCGGUUAGAUAAGUCUGAAGUUAAAGGCUGUGGCUUAACCAUAGUAGGCUUUGGAAACUGUUUAACUUGAGUGCAAGAGGGGAGAGUGGAAUUCCAUGUGUAGCGGUGAAAUGCGUAGAUAUAUGGAGGAACACCGGUGGCGAAAGCGGCUCUCUGGCUUGUAACUGACGCUGAGGCUCGAAAGCGUGGGGAGCAAACAGGAUUAGAUACCCUGGUAGUCCACGCUGUAAACGAUGAGUGCUAGGUGUUAGACCCUUUCCGGGGUUUAGUGCCGUAGCUAACGCAUUAAGCACUCCGCCUGGGGAGUACGACCGCAAGGUUGAAACUCAAAGGAAUUGACGGGGGCCGCACAAGCGGUGGAGCAUGUGGUUUAUUUCGAAGCAACGCGAAGAACCUUACCAGGUCUUGACAUCCCUCUGACCGCUCUAGAGAUAGAGCUUUCCUUCGGGACAGAGGUGACAGGUGGUGCAUGGUUGUCGUCAGCUCGUGUCGUGAGAUGUUGGGUUAAGUCCCGCAACGAGCGCAACCCCUAUUGUUAGUUGCCAUCAUUUAGUUGGGCACUCUAGCGAGACUGCCGGUAAUAAACCGGAGGAAGGUGGGGAUGACGUCAAAUCAUCAUGCCCCUUAUGACCUGGGCUACACACGUGCUACAAUGGCUGGUACAACGAGUCGCAAGCCGGUGACGGCAAGCUAAUCUCUUAAAGCCAGUCUCAGUUCGGAUUGUAGGCUGCAACUCGCCUACAUGAAGUCGGAAUCGCUAGUAAUCGCGGAUCAGCACGCCGCGGUGAAUACGUUCCCGGGCCUUGUACACACCGCCCGUCACACCACGAGAGUUUGUAACACCCGAAGUCGGUGAGGUAACCGUAAGGAGCCAGCCGCCUAAGGUGGGAUAGAUGAUUGGGGUGAAGUCGUAACAAGGUAGCCGUAUCGGAAGGUGCGGCUGGAUCACCU